ACGAACGCUGGCGGCGUGCUUAACACAUGCCAGUCGAACGGGCCCGCCCCUGUUUUUGGGGGUGGGUUGAGUGGCGAACGGGUGAGUAUCACGUGAGUAACCUGCCCCCUGCUCCUGGAUAACUGCUUGAAAGGGCGGCUAAUACGGGGUGUGCCGGCUGGUCCGCAUGGGCCUGGUCGGGAUAGUUUCAUCUUCGGGUGUUUCGGUGGGGGAUGGGCUCGCGGCCUAUCAGCUUGUUGGUGGGGUGAUGGCCCACCAAGGCGGUGACGGGUAGCCGGCCUGAGAGGGUGGGCGGCCACACUGGGACUGAGACACGGCCCAGACUCCUGCGGGAGGCAGCAGUGGGGGGUAUUGCACAAUGGGCGGAAGCCUGAUGCAGCGACGGCGCGUGAGGGAUGGAGGCCUUCGGGUUGUGAACCUCUUUCUCCGGUGGUGAAGGCCCUGUCCGUUGCGGCGGGGUUGACGGUAGCCGGGUAUGAAGCGCCGGCUAACUACGUG
RNAcentral lists this ribosomal RNA (498 nucleotides) under uncultured bacterium. RNAcentral describes it as "partial 16S ribosomal RNA". It matches the Rfam family "Bacterial small subunit ribosomal RNA", at positions 29 to 507 of the family's 1533-position model. The record is from RNAcentral.